RNAcentral lists this ribosomal RNA (505 nucleotides) under Salmonella enterica. Its description in RNAcentral is "partial 23S ribosomal RNA". It matches the Rfam family "Bacterial large subunit ribosomal RNA", at positions 1273 to 1772 of the family's 2925-position model. Lineage: Bacteria; Pseudomonadati; Pseudomonadota; Gammaproteobacteria; Enterobacterales; Enterobacteriaceae. The record is from RNAcentral. RNAcentral also lists the same sequence under 2 other names.
CUGGAGGUAUCAGAAGUGCGAAUGCUGACAUAAGUAACGAUAAAGCGGGUGAAAAGCCCGCUCGCCGGAAGACCAAGGGUUCCUGUCCAACGUUAAUCGGGGCAGGGUGAGUCGACCCCUAAGGCGAGGCCGAAAGGCGUAGUCGAUGGGAAACGGGUUAAUAUUCCCGUACUUGGUGUUACUGCGAAGGGGGGACGGAGAAGGCUAUGUUGGCCGGGCGACGGUUGUCCCGGUUUAAGCGUGUAGGUGUGUGUUCCAGGUAAAUCCGGUUCACUUUAACACUGAGGCGUGAUGACGAGGCACUACGGUGCUGAAGUAACAAAUGCCCUGCUUCCAGGAAAAGCCUCUAAGCAUCAGGUAACAUCAAAUCGUACCCCAAACCGACACAGGUGGUCAGGUAGAGAAUACCAAGGCGCUUGAGAGAACUCGGGUGAAGGAACUAGGCAAAAUGGUGCCGUAACUUCGGGAGAAGGCACGCUGACACGUAGGUGAAGUGAUUUACUCA